This 1299-nucleotide long non-coding RNA is filed under the name Salvia miltiorrhiza (redroot sage). RNAcentral describes it as "long non-coding RNA (SMIL_LNC007000)". The record is from RNAcentral. Lineage: Eukaryota; Viridiplantae; Streptophyta; Magnoliopsida; Lamiales; Lamiaceae.
CUUCUUCCCGGCGAGUCAUCGCCGGAAAUCCAUCUCUCUCUCCCUCGCAUACAUCGGUAACCACCCAAACACUCACCUCUCAAUCUCUCUCGAAUCUCCUCCGGCGAAGAACCGUCGGUCAGUCACCUCCCUCAACGUUUCACUACAGCGCCGUUGUUCCUGCUGCUCCGGCGACUCACGACGAGGCCACCGCCGAUUGCUGCUGUUUGUGGAAGCGCCGCCGACUGCUGCUGUUCGUGGAGUCCGCCGCCGACUGCUGCUGUUCUGAAGUUGGCCGCCGACUGCUGCUGUUCUGGUAUCGCGGGCUGCUGUUGCAGAGCUCCGACAGCCACCACCGUCGUCGGCUGCCGCUGCCUCGCCCAAGGCCGACUUCUGCUACCAAGCACCGAACGCCGCUGCUGUAGGGAGGCCGGCGAACAGUCGGGUGUUCGCCGUUUCCAGUUCUUCUCCGAGUUCCGAAGCCGGUGAGAGCUCCAUCAUCGCGUCGUCUCGUUCGUCUCUCGGCCCAACUGAACAGGUCGUGGAGCAACAAGGCGAGCUUCUCGCCUGAACCCACCGCCAAGCACCGAGUCGCUGCUGCUCGUCGUCUCUCGAUCAGCCUGAACAGGCCGCGUCCCUUCUUCCUAAAGCUAAGUUAUAUCCUUGACUCGUCUUCUUCCUACCAUGUAUGAGUAUCGAUAAGCUUAAGCUUCUAUGAGUAAGAAAGAAUCAGGGUUUAACACUCUGUCAGUGAGCAUGCUAUCGCUAUCCUUGUUCGUUCAUUCAUGUGCUAUGUGUGAGGUCCUCAUGGUUUGUGUUCUAGAGUGCAGUGGCAGUAUACACAUAAGUCUUUCUAUUGCUAUACAUAACAUGGACUGUUUGAUGUAGUGGUAAAACAUGAUUAUGCUCGUUGGUAUGAAUGCGAACUCGAUUGGAUAACUGAGGUAGUAUAAAUACCUUGAAUGAUGCUUGCUUUGGUGUUUGUUGGCUGUUGUGGUUGGAUUAAAUGAAGCAGCAGAUCGAACUGAAAUAAUAAAGUUGUUCUUGCAUUAAUGCAGGUGGAAUAAGGGAAGAAGGUGGAGCAUUGAAGACAAGCUUACCUUGAGAAUACUUGGUAGGAUGAAUUAAAGGCUCACUUCUCCUUGUGCAGUCCUCAAAUGAAGAAUGAAGAGAAUGCAACAAUGUUGGCUGUUUUGAAUGACGAGGUGGUUUGGCUGGGAGCUUGUAUACAUGGGAGGAGGUACAUUCUAGGGUGGCUGAUUGACAUAUUUAGGUGUACUUGGGUAUGGCAGCCUGCUGCAUAGGCGUGGGAAAAGAAAG